RNAcentral lists this non-coding RNA (23 nucleotides) under Arabidopsis thaliana (thale cress). The record is from RNAcentral. Lineage: Eukaryota; Viridiplantae; Streptophyta; Magnoliopsida; Brassicales; Brassicaceae.
UACAACGAGUACCAACUGGUGAA